UACGGAAGGCAGCAGUGGGGAAUAUUGCACAAUGGGCGAAAGCCUGAUGCAGCUAUGCCGCGUGUAUGAAGAAGGCCUUAGGGUUGUAAAGUACUUUCAUCGGGGAGGAAAAAACAAAACUAAUAAUUUUAUUUCUUGACGUUACCCGAAAAAGAAGCACCGGCUAACUCCGUGCCAGCAGCCGCGGUAAUACGGAGGGUGCUAGCGUUAAUCAGAAUUACUGGGCGUAAAGAGCACGUAGGUGGUUUUUUUAAAGUCAGAUGUGAAAUCCCUGGGCUUAACCUAGGAACUGCAUUUUGAAACUGAAAUACUAGAGUAUCGUAGAGGGAGGUAGAAUUCUAGGUGUAGCGGUGAAAUGCGUAGAUAUCUGGAGGAAUACCUGUGGCGAAAGCGGCCUCCUAAACGAAUACUGACACUGAGGUGCGAAAGCGUGGGGAGCAAACAGGGAUUUAGAUACC
This 458-nucleotide ribosomal RNA is filed under the name uncultured bacterium. RNAcentral's name for it is "bacterial SSU rRNA". It matches the Rfam family "Bacterial small subunit ribosomal RNA", at positions 340 to 786 of the family's 1533-position model. The record is from RNAcentral.